CAAAUGCAUGACAACGAGACAGACAAAGGUGCAGUGCGUCGCAUGAUAAUGCAGAACUACAUGUUUGGAUGGAUACAUUGAGCUGGAAGCUGAUUCCCUUUGAUUAACAUCUAGAUUAGAGAUGAAGGAAGGAAUGUGUGGACUUCAAAGAGAAUCUCGGAAUGACUUUUCAUCAGCAUCAGGGAAGAGAUUAGACUUCAGGAAUAAGAGGCUUCUUCAUCUACAGAGCAGAGGGCAGAGGUUAUGUCAAGGGUGCACAAGAAUAAGUAUUAAGAACCCCCCCCCCCCCC
This is a long non-coding RNA of Strongylocentrotus purpuratus (purple sea urchin), 290 nucleotides long. RefSeq lists it as uncharacterized. The record is from RefSeq and is a predicted model, not a curated record. Lineage: Eukaryota; Metazoa; Echinodermata; Echinoidea; Camarodonta; Strongylocentrotidae. The transcript is spliced from 2 exons.